RNAcentral lists this ribosomal RNA (178 nucleotides) under Bacillus cereus. RNAcentral describes it as "partial 16S ribosomal RNA". It matches the Rfam family "Bacterial small subunit ribosomal RNA", at positions 173 to 344 of the family's 1533-position model. Lineage: Bacteria; Bacillati; Bacillota; Bacilli; Caryophanales; Bacillaceae. The record is from RNAcentral.
AUAACAUUUUGAACCGCAUGGUUCGAAAUUGAAAGGCGGCUUCGGCUGUCACUUAUGGAUGGACCCGCGUCGCAUUAGCUAGUUGGUGAGGUAACGGCUCACCAAGGCAACAAUGCGUACCCCACCUGAGAGGGUGAUCGGCCACACUGGGACUGAGGCUCGGACCAGACUCCUACUG